This is a non-coding RNA of Rattus norvegicus (Norway rat), 1112 nucleotides long. The record is from RefSeq and is a predicted model, not a curated record. NCBI's taxonomy places the organism in Eukaryota, Metazoa, Chordata, Mammalia, Rodentia, Muridae.
GCCAGGGCCUGCCUUAAGGAAAUGGAGACCCGGGAUGUGUCUCCACGCAGACACAAGGCCCCUUGCGGCUGUCCUACAACCACAGGGGUUGGGUGCAGCCUAGCAGCCUGGACUCUGGUAGCAGCUCGGCAGCCUCAGAACUACACCAAGACCCAGAAUCCCCAGGAAGCCACCCUUACACUCUGAAACUGCAGCAGUGAACAGGAUGCCACUUGGAACUGUCUCUACCUGGUGAUGGUGAACCCUGUGGCCCAGGCACAAAGGCAGAGUCCUAUUCCAGGUCCCCCUUGUGCUCCCUUCCUGGAAGCUCUGCACAAGGUAGAAACACACCCAACCCUUGGGGAUUUCAUGGAUUCCAAGUGGGCACCCCCAAACCCUCAGCCAUUAAACCCUUGAGGCUCUAUGCGGCAAACCACCAGUGGAGAAAACAGAAUAGCUUCAGCUUGCUCUCCCCACAGUCCCUCGCAGUUGCUGUUAACUGGUGGCCAACACUUGAUCGCUGGGAGCUUGGCCAUAAAGAGCCAGGUUGACAGAACUCCCACUACAGCCAGGAGCCAGUGAUGUCAGUUUGUGUUCCCAAUGGCCCUGUUCUGCUGGGGACAGGCCUCUUCCGCACAAAUAUGUUCCCCACCAGCCAACCCUCUCUUCCAGCCCAGUGCACCCCUGACGACGAGGCCCUUCCCCGUGACUUAGCAUCUUAGCGUCACUGUCCCUCAGCUCUCCACUUUUGCCAUAAAGAGUCAUGUCUGGAGUAGUUAGUACAUGCUUGACAAAAAUAUGAGCCCACAGCUCUCACAGGCCGGGCCAACACAGCCUUCUGCCUUCUUCCUCCCUGUCACCUCUCUCUCUCUGAACGUUCACAGACCUCUUCCCUCCCUCCUCCAGCUCCAUAUUCUUUUAUUUAUUUAUUUAUUUAUUUAUUUAUUUAUUUAUUUAUUUAUUUAUUUAUUUUUGGUUGGUUUGUUUGAGACAAGGUUUCUCUACAUGGCUCUGGCUGUGGUUGUCCUGGCACUCACUGUGUAGACCAUACUGGCCUCAAACCCACAGAGAUCCCCCCACCCACCUCCGCGCCACUGCCUCUUGAGUGUUGGAAUUAAAGGUGCGUACCACUA